GAUAGCCCUAGUGUCGAUGGUUCUUGCGGCACAUAAAUCUUGUGCCCGGGAUGAAAAGGGAACGUGGUGCGGCCAGGCUUUGCAGCCCAGCCAAGUCCACGACUGCCCCCGCAACUGUAAGCGGCGAGCGCUUCGGGUGAACCACUGGCACAGGCAUCAACGCCCUGCCGGGAAGGACCGAAACCGCAUCGACCCGCAAGUCAGGAGACCUGCCAUCACGAAUGAAACUCG
This 231-nucleotide non-coding RNA is filed under the name Roseobacter sp. Lineage: Bacteria; Pseudomonadati; Pseudomonadota; Alphaproteobacteria; Rhodobacterales; Roseobacteraceae. The record is from RNAcentral.